This 478-nucleotide ribosomal RNA is filed under the name uncultured bacterium. RNAcentral describes it as "partial 16S ribosomal RNA". It matches the Rfam family "Bacterial small subunit ribosomal RNA", at positions 28 to 523 of the family's 1533-position model. The record is from RNAcentral.
GACGAACGCUGGCGGCGUGCUUAACACAUGCAAGUCGAACGGUAAGGCCCUUCGGGGUACACGAGUGGCGAACGGGUGAGUAACACGUGGGUGAUCUGCCCUGCACUCCGGGAUAAGCCUGGGAAACUGGGUCUAAUACCGGAUAGGACCACUGCCUGCAUGGGUGGUGGGGGAAAGCUUUUGCGGUGUGGGAUGGGCCCGCGGGCUAGCAGCUUGUUGGUGGGGUGAUGGCCUACCAAGGCGACGACGGGUAGCCGGCCUGAGAGGGUGACCGGCCACACUGGGACUGAGAUACGGCCCAGACUCCUACGGGAGGCAGCAGUGGGGAAUAUUGCACAAUGGGCGCAAGCCUGAUGCAGCGACGCCGCGUGAGGGAUGACGGCCUUCGGGUUGUAAACCUCUUUCAGCACCGACGAAGCGCAAGCGACGGUAGGUGCAGAAGAAGGACCGGCCAACUACGUGCCAGCAGCCGCGGUAA